GGCGGCGUGCUUAACACAUGCAAGUCGAGCGGAAAGGCCCUUCGGGGUACUCGAGCGGCGAACGGGUGAGUAACACGUGAGCAACCUGCCCUAGGCUUUGGGAUAACCCUCGGAAACGGGGGCUAAUACCGGAUACAACCUUUGGUCGCAUGACUGGGGGUGGAAAGUUUUUCGGCCUGGGAUGGGCUCGCGGCCUAUCAGCUUGUUGGUGGGGUGAUGGCCUACCAAGGCGACGACGGGUAGCCGGCCUGAGAGGGCGACCGGCCACACUGGGACUGAGGCACGGCCCAGACUCCUACGGGAGGCAGCAGUGGGGAAUAUUGCACAAUGGGCGGAAGCCUGAUGCAGCGACGCCGCGUGAGGGAUGACGGCCUUCGGGUUGUAAACCUCUUUCAGCAGGGACGAAGCGCAAGUGACGGUACCUGCAGAAGAAGCGCCGGCCAACUACGUGCCAGCAGCCGCGGUAAGACGUAGGGUGCGAGCGUUGUCCGGAUUUAUUGGGCGUAAAGAGCUCGUAGGCGGCUUGUCGCGUCGACCGUGAAAACUUGGGGCUCAACCCCAAGGCUGCGGUCGAUACGGGCAGGCUAGAGUUCGGUAGGGGAGACUGGAAUUCCUGGUGUAGCGGUGAAAUGCGCAGAUAUCAGGAGGAACACCGGUGGCGAAGGCGGGUCUCUGGGCCGAUACUGACGCUGAGGAGCGAAAGCGUGGGGAGCGAACAGGAUUAGAUACCCUGGUAGUCCACGCUGUAAACGUUGGGCGCUAGGUGUGGGGGGCCUCUCCGGUUCUCUGUGCCGCAGCUAACGCAUUAAGCGCCCCGCCUGGGGAGUACGGCCGC
RNAcentral lists this ribosomal RNA (835 nucleotides) under Micromonospora sp. IM-0649. Its description in RNAcentral is "bacterial SSU rRNA". It matches the Rfam family "Bacterial small subunit ribosomal RNA", at positions 38 to 889 of the family's 1533-position model. Lineage: Bacteria; Bacillati; Actinomycetota; Actinomycetes; Micromonosporales; Micromonosporaceae. The record is from RNAcentral.